AGCAGCCGCGGUAAUUCCAGCUCCAAUAGCGUACAUUAAAGUUGUUGCAGUUAAAAAGCUCGUAGUUGAAUUUCGGGGUCAGUAGAUUGGUCAUGCCUCCGGUAUGUACUGGUCUUACUGGCUCCUCCUUCCUGAUGAACCGUAAUGCCAUUAAUUUGGUGUUGCGGGGAGACUGGACUGUUACUUUGAAAAAAUUAGAGUGUUUAAAGCAGGCUAACGCUUGAAUACAUUAGCAUGGAAUAAUGAAAUAGGACGUUCGAUCUUAUUUUGUUGGUUUCUAAGAUUGACGUAAUGAUUAAUAGGGAUAGUUGGGGGCAUUAGUAUUCAAUUGUCAGAGGUGAAAUUCUUGGAUUUAUUGAAGACUAACUACUGCGAAAGCAUUUGCCAAGGAUGUUUUCAUUAAUCAAGAACGAAAGUUAGGGGAUCGAAGACGAUCAGAUACCGUCGUAGUCUUAACCAUAAACUAUGCCGACUAGGGAUCGGAUGAUGUUAUUUUUAAUGACUCAUUCGGCGCCUUACG
Molecule: ribosomal RNA, 520 nt
Filed under: uncultured Glomus
Lineage: Eukaryota; Fungi; Glomeromycota; Glomeromycetes; Glomerales; Glomeraceae
Description: SSU rRNA
Rfam family: Eukaryotic small subunit ribosomal RNA
Source: RNAcentral